UGUCUUGAUCUUCUCCAAAAU
This 21-nucleotide non-coding RNA is filed under the name Caenorhabditis elegans. The record is from RNAcentral. Lineage: Eukaryota; Metazoa; Nematoda; Chromadorea; Rhabditida; Rhabditidae.